This is a long non-coding RNA of Scleropages formosus (Asian bonytongue), 1417 nucleotides long. RefSeq lists it as uncharacterized. Lineage: Eukaryota; Metazoa; Chordata; Actinopteri; Osteoglossiformes; Osteoglossidae. The record is from RefSeq and is a predicted model, not a curated record. The transcript has 4 exons.
UGUGUGUGUGUGUGUAUGUGUGUGUGUGUGUGUGUUUAGAGCACAACCCUCCCCAGCAUCUGUUACAGUAUCCAGGGUGUAUAAUGUAAGUGCUUCAAAAAGCACACACAGGGAAGCAAUAGUGUGUGUGUUCAUGUAAUAUCUUGGUCAGUGAGUCAGUCUCAAUGUCACCAGAGAGGGGUCAGUGCCCCCCUCCCUGUUCCCCCGACCUGGUUCCCACCCGGGGCCGUUUCUGUGAUGUUCUUUGGCUGCGGUGCCCUUUUUCCUUCCGUUCAAACAAACAGGUAGCGCAGGAAGCCGCGUCACUGCACUCCUUUUCCAGAGGAAGGGCUGCGGCGUGUUGGACCCCUAGAACCGCUUGCACCUAGAGGUUCAGCCCCAUCGGCGCUGAUUGUCCUUCUCCACCCUUCUUCCUUGUGGAAGUCAUGCCAGCGAAAGAUCUCCGCGGCUGUGGACAGCAUCCGCCUUCUUUGUCACACAGCUCCGUUCGGCUCGGACUCAGGUCCGCGUCAGCCGUUUCACUUUGCAGAGUGUGUGAGGAAUCCAGUGGCGUACGUGGGGAAGUACGCUGUCCACUCAUGGACAUCUCUAUCCGAAGAAGGAGCGGCAACGGUCAUGCUGAAAUAUGCCCGACAUCCCUCAGUGCCGAUAGAAGUGCUUGUGUUUGUGACGAAUGAAACACAGCGAGUGCGGCCAAGACCCCCAUGGGGUUUUUUCUUCGUCCACUUCAAGUGACAUUUUGAAAGCCAGUAAGAAGAGCAGACAGGAGAGACAACCAAGAGCAAGACCAUCCCCAUACCCGGUCCAACCACAAGUGUCUCUACACCUGGUCCAACCAAGACUUUCCCUAUACCCAAUCCAACCACAUCUGUCUCUGCACUACGUCCAACCAGGACUGCUUUUGUGCCUGGUCCAACCAGGACUGUCUCUACACCUGGUCCAACCACUAGUGUCUCUACACCUGGUCCAAUCAAGACCAUCUCUAUACCAGGUCCAACCACAAGGGUCUCUACAUCCGGUCCAACCAGGACCGUCUCCACAUUUGACCUAAUUUAAUUCAGUCUACAAUUUCUUUUAAAAGAUGACUGGGAGGAAAUGAUUAAGGAAACACGAGAGACAUUUCUACAAUUGUGGAGCAAAUGUUUCCAUUGUUAUUUUUGCUAGAAAACUCCCAUGGUUUUGACCACUGACCUCUCUUUCUAGGGUACAAAGAUAAAUGGAAGUGAUUUUCCCAAGGACUUCAAGAAGAAGGACACUUUUGGAAGGGGUAUUAUGAACUCCAGAAAUAAAUCAUAUUAUUUCUCUGGUGCUGGUAACUGAGCCCUUCCUCCGAACCCCCAUGGACACCCACACAAAAUCCAACCGUGAUACACAACUUGGCCCCAGGACCCAUCAGAGGUCUUACAAACUAUUGAAA